Long non-coding RNA from Brassica oleracea var. oleracea, 368 nucleotides. RefSeq lists it as uncharacterized. The record is from RefSeq and is a predicted model, not a curated record. Lineage: Eukaryota; Viridiplantae; Streptophyta; Magnoliopsida; Brassicales; Brassicaceae. The transcript has 3 exons.
GCGGAAUAAGACAGCUAAUUUAGCCCAGUCUUUGGCCAUGUGAAGGAUGAAAACACCAACGAAAGCAACAAUUCUGGAACUUUGGAAACAAGUUAUAAAAGAAGUUUGUAGAUGAACUCAAUGUGCAGAACCUCUGUGUGGAACAUGAUGUCGUUUAUGUAAAGUCGUAAGAUUUCUAAAAGGUUCCAGUCUUUUGAGGAUUUUGAAACAGACUAUGACCUCAGAUUGAUUUGUAUGAUGUCCUUGGCCACAUCAAGCUAAUCAAACUCUGGGCGAACCACCGGCCCUUGAUGGAAUAGAUGGAGGAAGCACUCGGCCAGUCUUGAUUUACCUCCAUGAUAAGAACAACUUUUCCCCGUUCUCAUGAU